UACGGAGGGUGCAAGCGUUAUCCGGAUUUACUGGGUUUAAAGGGUGUGUAGGCGGACUUUUAAGUCAGGGGUGAAAUCCCGAGGCUCAACCUCGGAACUGCCUUUGAUACUACUGGUCUUGAAUGUUGUUGAGGUGGGCGGAACGGGUCAUGUAGCGGUGAAAUGCAUAGAUAUGACCCGGAACACCGAUUGCGAAGGCAGCCCGCUAAGCAACUAUUGACGCUGAGGCACGAAAGCGUGGGGAUCAAACAGG
This 253-nucleotide ribosomal RNA is filed under the name uncultured bacterium. Its description in RNAcentral is "partial 16S ribosomal RNA". It matches the Rfam family "Bacterial small subunit ribosomal RNA", at positions 524 to 776 of the family's 1533-position model. The record is from RNAcentral.